UAGGGAAUCUUCGGCAAUGGACGAAAGUCUGACCGAGCAACGCCGCGUGAGUGAAGAAGUUUUUCGGAUCGUAAAACUCUGUUGUUAGAGAAGAACAAGGACGUUAGUAACUGAACGUCCCCUGACGGUAUCUAACCAGAAAGCCACGGCUAACUACGUGCCAUCAGCCGCGGUAAUACGUAGGUGGCAAGCUUUGUCCGGAUUUAUUGGGCGUAAAGCGAGCGCAGGCGGUUUCUUAAGUCUGAUGUGAAAGCCCCCGGCUCAACCGGGGAGGGUCAUUGGAAACUGGGAGACGUGAGUGCAGAAGAGGAGAGUGGAAUUCCAUGUGUAGCGGUGAGAUGAGUAGAUAUAUGGGGGAACACCAGUGGCGAAGGCGGCUCUGUGGUCAGUAACUGACGCAGAGACUCGAAAGAGUGGAGAGCAAACAGG
This 429-nucleotide ribosomal RNA is filed under the name Chloroflexota bacterium. Its description in RNAcentral is "Chloroflexi bacterium partial 16S ribosomal RNA". It matches the Rfam family "Bacterial small subunit ribosomal RNA", at positions 355 to 776 of the family's 1533-position model. The record is from RNAcentral. Lineage: Bacteria; Bacillati; Chloroflexota.